Molecule: ribosomal RNA, 420 nt
Filed under: Fusobacteriota bacterium
Lineage: Bacteria; Fusobacteriati; Fusobacteriota
Description: Fusobacteria bacterium partial 16S ribosomal RNA
Rfam family: Bacterial small subunit ribosomal RNA
Source: RNAcentral
UGGGGGAUAUUGCACAAUGGGCGAAAGCCUGAUGCAGCGACGCCGCGUGGGGGAUGAAGGCCUUCGGGUUGUAAACUUCUUUUGCUCUGAACAAGGCAUGCCUUUGGGGUGUGUUGAGUGUAGGGGUUGAUUAGCGCCGGCUAACUAUGUGCCAGCAGCCGCGGUAAUACGUAGGGCGCGAGCGUUGUCCGGAAUUAUUGGGCGUAAAGGGCUUGUAGGUGGCUGGUUGCGUCUGUCGUGAAAGCUCAUGGCUUAACUGUGGGUUUGCGGUGGGUACGGGCUGGCUUGAGUGCAGUAGGGGAGGCUGGAAUUCCUGGUGUAGCGGUGGAAUGCGCAGAUAUCAGGAGGAAUACCGGUGGCGAAGGCGGGUCUCUGGGCUGUUACUGACGCUGAGGAGCGAAAGCGUGGGGAGCGAACAGG